This 553-nucleotide long non-coding RNA is filed under the name Phasianus colchicus (ring-necked pheasant). RNAcentral describes it as "lncRNA (ENSPCLG00000006262.1)". Lineage: Eukaryota; Metazoa; Chordata; Aves; Galliformes; Phasianidae. The record is from RNAcentral.
UGUGACCUGGCUUUAAUUACAACUGGGUGAGCCAUCUGAGCCUACAAACAGGUGGGCUGAGUUACCCAUCACCUGAAGCAUUUCCCUGGAGGUGGUCCUCUAGCAGCCCUUUGGCUAGCAGCAGCAGUAGUUGUGUUCUACACAGAAGGAGGUGCGUGCAUUGUCCUGCCUUGCCCAGAAGCUCCUGCACUAACACCCAGUGCUCUGUCCUAGAGCUCAGCUGUUCAUGAAGUCAAAUAGAUUGCCAGCAAAAUUGCUUAUCCUGCUCAUACAUUGCCAACACGUGGCGUCGCUACCAAACAUUCCCACCCCGAUUCCCCCGUACACACUGCAGCGAGCUCAGAUUUCUUUGUUAUCAGCCCUACUCGGCGCAUAAUGCUGGUGACUUUGCUAUUCUGCAUGUGUCCUUAUUAAAAACAAACAUGCAGCCCCGUCCCUGUUUUCACUGCUGACAAUGCUGACAAGGAUUCCGACAAAUUCCUGCUCUCUCGGGGUGCUGGGGAAGCGCGACCAGGAAGCAGUUUGCUCUGCCGGCAGCUCCAGACAGGCUGCU